This 497-nucleotide ribosomal RNA is filed under the name uncultured bacterium. RNAcentral's name for it is "partial 16S ribosomal RNA". It matches the Rfam family "Bacterial small subunit ribosomal RNA", at positions 28 to 507 of the family's 1533-position model. The record is from RNAcentral.
GAUGAACGCUGGCGGCGUGCCUAAUACAUGCAAGUCGAGCGAACGGACGAGAAGCUUGCUUCUCUGAUGUUAGCGGCGGACGGGUGAGUAACACGUGGAUAACCUACCUAUAAGACUGGGAUAACUUCGGGAAACCGGAGCUAAUACCGGAUGAUAUUUUGAACCGCAUGGUUCAAAAGUGAAAGACGGUCUUGCUGUCACUUAUAGAUGGAUCCGCGCUGCAUUAGCUAGUUGGUAAGGUAACGGCUUACCAAGGCAACGAUGCAUAGCCGACCUGAGAGGGGGGUCGGCCACACUGGAACUGAGACACGGUCCAGACUCCUACGGGAGGCAGCAGUAGGGAAUGUUCCGCAAUGGGCGAAAGCCUGACGGAGCAACGCCGCGUGAGUGAUGAAGGUCUUCGGAUCGUAAAACUCUGUUAUUAGGGAAGAACAUAUGUGUAAGUAACUGUGCACAUCUUGACGGUACCUAAUCAGAAAGCCACGGCUAACUACGUG